This 213-nucleotide long non-coding RNA is filed under the name Ovis aries (sheep). Its description in RNAcentral is "lncRNA (ENSOARG00000026752.1)". The record is from RNAcentral. Lineage: Eukaryota; Metazoa; Chordata; Mammalia; Artiodactyla; Bovidae.
GGAAAAUUCAGGAGAGAGCUACAGAGUACAGCAUCUUUCUACUCAGAAAUGUACAAGAUAGGCUGGGAGAAAUAGAGAGUUCCACUGCAGCCACCACUCCAAAACGUUUCACAAGAAAUCCCCCUCUCAUUCAUGAUUUGGAAAGCUAAGUCCAUUUGAAGAUGCUCUCCUCUGAGAUACUGAAGGGCACCAGAGCUGGAAGCUGAGGAUGAA